Molecule: long non-coding RNA, 3650 nt
Filed under: Nicotiana tabacum (common tobacco)
Lineage: Eukaryota; Viridiplantae; Streptophyta; Magnoliopsida; Solanales; Solanaceae
Description: long non-coding RNA (NTAB_LNC009396)
Source: RNAcentral
GAAAAGUUAAAAUAAAAUAAAUAAUAAACUAGCGGAAGAACAAGAAUCAGUAAAUUAAGAAAGAUACAAAAUAAUAUCCCUUUUACCCAUGAUCUCCUCAACCGCCCCACGAUUUCUCCUCCUAACUCCCAUUUUUCCACUUCCUCAUGUUAGUGACUUUCCCACUUUCUUAUAUUAGUGACUUCCCCAGUUCCUCAUGUUAGUGGUCAUGUCCCAAUCCCCACUUCCUCAUGUUAGUGCUCACUCCCUCACGCCUCACAUCAUGCGCACACACACACAAUCACUGGCACACACAUACGAUCACAUAUAUUUUUGUUAACCAUCUGCACAUCUGGAUCGGGAACUCCUACAUAUGCAAAGAUACAGAGCAAAAAGCCAUAGGCCGGUUUACAAAGAGAUACACGGAUAGAGGACUGAAAAUUCCCAAACGUUCUGCUUUCUUCUUCUCCAUUUUUUCAUGAAGACAUCACGAAACAAAUGACCCCUCCCUAUUCUGAACGUGGCUCUUCUUCUGGACAGAAGAGGCUACCCAUCUCCUUUGAUUCCCAUAUAAAAGAAAACACACUCGCACACGCAUAGAUACAACAAGAAGUUUGCGGUGCCAUUGGAGGUUCUGUUUGUGUCGACCAAUUUUCGGCUGUGAUUCCGGCAGAAGUCCGCGGUUCCUGUUGCUCUGUUGCUUGUUCCACGUUUGCUGAAAGAAUCUGUCAAAGCUUAGUUGUAAUCAAAUUCAUAUAUUGAAAGAAAUUUGCUCAUGAGGGCAUGGAUAGCAAAACUUGGUUAAAGACCGCUAUUUUCCUAUAUUUAAUUGCCAUUUCAACUAGUAGAGGUAAUCAUGAUUUUCAUAUUAUUGUAAUGAUGAAUGACUACUUUGACUAGAUUUGUUUAGUUUCAUAGGUGCUAAGUGUAGCAUGUUUUUCAAUUGGCUAUUUUUCCAUGCUUAAUUAUUUUUUUUAAAUUAAAAAAAGUGGUAGAGGUAAAUCAUUAUUUGUGAUAACUUUGAGUCAAUACUACUGAUUGGAUUUUAUUUUGGUCUGUGUUAAGUUUUAGUAUUAUUUUUUCUUGGAUAGUUCUGCAAUCCACUUGAAGAUGGCAAAACUUAACUUUUAACUGAUAGAAGUAAUUAUGAGUUACUACCAUGUAUUUGACUCUAGGCAUUGAGCGCAUUAGGUUUUCUUGGAUUUACUUUACAAUCCAAUUUUAUGUAAUCCUGCCUAGAUUGCUUUAAUUGAGUAUAAAUCUUGUAAAAUAAUUUGAGGCAUGACAUGCCAAAUAAAACCCCUAAGCCCAUGGACUUCACAAAACUAGUUAACAUUUAUAGAAAAUUUGAGGCGUGCCAUUUUCAUUAAAUAGCCCAUGACCCUCAUGUAAUUAAUUUUAACUCUUUAGAAAUCGAGGUGUGUCAUUAGUUGAAUUUUUCAUGGCCCUCGCAAACUUGAAAGUGCGUAGUUGCUUUAGGCGCGCUACUUAAAUUAACUUCCCUAAAUUCGGGUGUGCAUUUAUGUGACCCAAAUCCAAAUCUCAACAAAUAAAAUGUGUCAUGGACCGCGGGUGUAUUUAUGUAGCGUGGCUUACGAUGUGUUUUAAAUAACUUUGAAUUUUUUUCGAAAUAUUAAAAGCGGCUAAAUAAUAGCACCCUUUUGCUUUUGCUUUUGCUUUUGCUUGUAAAUUAGCAGCUCAUAGUUCUUAGCUUAUUAUUUGCUAUUAGUUGAUUGUGCAGUAGUAAGAAAUUUGGAGAUCAAUUGGUGUACCAUUAUCUUUUUUUUUUUGCCACAAUUCCCUAUUAUUCUUGUCUGAAGUUCGUGUAUCAAGUUUCAGUGGCUCAACUCUGUUUUGCUUGGUAAUGCUCGUUAUUGGUUUCUUGGCACACAUUUUGCAUGAAAAUUCGGGGGUGCAUUUCAUGUGGCCCAAUCAUAACAACUUCAAACAAUAAUAUAAUAAAUAUAUCGCGAAUCGGAGGUGCAUUUCAAGUAGCGUGAUUCGCGGUGUGUGCCAAAACGGCAAGUGUACGACAAUCGUAACUUGUUCAAGAAAUAAUUCCAUAAAUCCUGAAAACGGUAUAAAAUAAUUAAAAAGCGGUUAUAAAAGCUAAAAAAUGCAUAAUAAGUUUAAAACGUGUAAUAAGUCAGAUAAUUAGGCUAAUUUUAAUAGUUUAAGCGACCGUGCUAAAACCACGGAACUCGGAAAUGCCUAACACCUUCUCCCGGGUUAACAGAAUUCCUUACCCAGAUUUCUUUGUUCGCAGAUUGUAAUACAGAGUCAAUCCUUUCCUCGAUUCGGGAUUUGAACUGGUGACUUGGGACACCAUAAAAUUAUCCCAAAUGGCGAUUCUGAAUCUAAUAAAAUAAUCUCGUUUCGAUUGUCACUUAAAUUGGAAAAAACUCCUAUAUACCCCUUCCGGGGGUGUAGGAAAAAAGGAGGUGUGACAGCUCUAGCGACUCUGCUGGGGAAAAUGAUAGAAUCUCCGAUUCAGGGUUCAAGAAUUUGAGCUUAGAAUAACUGUUAUAUUUGGCUUUAUUUAUUAUAUGAUUUUAUUCACAUGUUUGGGCCUAAUAUGCUAAAUGUUGCUUUUUACCGCUUUGAUAUUGUUGAACUGUAUAUAAAAUUGCUAUGAAUCCCUCCUCUCUCUGAGUCUUCUAAAUCAUCUGGAAAAUGUGCACUUCGUGUGACUUCUUUUCUAUUAGAUUCAUAUCCUAAUUUUAGAACGAGUUUCGGACAAGUUGCAAAGCCGGUGAAGUUUCUGUAUUCCCGGUAUGCUGCCCCCCUUGGCUCGAGAUGUCCGCUCGGGUAAGCCAGGGCUAGAACAAUAAACCCAGGUUUUCAUACCUAGUAUAACAUAGCCUCAUGCCGGAUCCCUACAAGGAACACUUGUUUUCAUCAUGCUCAUUGGACGUUGGGGACUCAACACAGGGGUUGGGUCUGUCUAGGUUAGGUGUACCCAAAAUAACAGACCAUCUUAAUGCAUCUUAUGUGCUACAUGUUGCAUUUUUACGGGUAAAAGAGUCUUUUGGCGGACCAAUGAUAAUUGAGGGUGAAUGAAAAAAGGGGAAAAAAAGAGAGGGUGAAGUGUGUAAUGAAGCAAGUAGAGCCUAGUUAUAAUUUUCUUUCAUACUUUUUCAAGAAAAAGACCCAAAAAAAAAGAUAUAUGAAAAAUCCAUAAAGAUUUUGCAUUUUUCCAUCAUUUUCCAAAAAAAAAACAAAAAAAAAGGAAAAAGAAAAUCAAAAAAUAUUUUGCAUCCUUCAUCCUUUUCAAGGAAAAGACAAAAUAUAUUUUCUCUAAAUUAGUUGUUUUUCUUAUUCUCGCCCAUAUCCAAUCUGCCCGAACUACGCAUACCUGAUUCUCGUCUUUCGGGGCGUGAUACGUAGGCAACCCACAUAGAGUCCAGUCUUCCUAGUAAAUCUUAGGUUCUUGGCUUUGCGGGGUCUUAGCCAAAUUUGCACUUCUAGCCAUCUUUUGGCCAAAUAAGCUACUUUGCAAAAAUAGCCUAAAUCAUGUCUUGCGUGUUUCCAACAGGAAGGAUUAUUGUCUCACAUAGUGUUCUAGGUCUUUAACCUAUUUGGUUUUAAUUUUCUCAUAUAGGUGUGGAUUUACUUACCGGAGUUUGAGCAUGACAGAGUCCAGGACAUAUAGUCAGGAUCGCUCAUUCAGG